AUUGAACGCUGGCGGCAUGCUUUACACAUGCAAGUCGAACGGUAACAGGCCGCAAGGUGCUGACGAGUGGCGCACGGGUGAGUAAUGCAUCGGAACGUGCCCAGCCGUGGGGGAUAACUACUCGAAAGAGUAGCUAAUACCGCAUACGAUCUAUGGAUGAAAGCGGGGGACCGUAAGGCCUCGCGCGAUUGGAGCGGCCGAUGUCAGAUUAGGUAGUUGGUGGGGUAAAGGCUCACCAAGCCAACGAUCUGUAGCUGGUCUGAGAGGACGACCAGCCACACUGGGACUGAGACACGGCCCAGACUCCUACGGGAGGCAGCAGUGGGGAAUUUUGGACAAUGGGCGCAAGCCUGAUCCAGCAAUGCCGCGUGCAGGAAGAAGGCCUUCGGGUUGUAAACUGCUUUUGUACGGAACGAAACGGCUCUGGUUAAUACCCGGGGCUAAUGACGGUACCGUAAGAAUAAGCACCGGCUAACUACGUG
This 482-nucleotide ribosomal RNA is filed under the name uncultured bacterium. RNAcentral describes it as "partial 16S ribosomal RNA". It matches the Rfam family "Bacterial small subunit ribosomal RNA", at positions 30 to 507 of the family's 1533-position model. The record is from RNAcentral.